This 409-nucleotide ribosomal RNA is filed under the name uncultured Acidimicrobiales bacterium. RNAcentral describes it as "bacterial SSU rRNA". It matches the Rfam family "Bacterial small subunit ribosomal RNA", at positions 355 to 774 of the family's 1533-position model. Lineage: Bacteria; Bacillati; Actinomycetota; Acidimicrobiia; Acidimicrobiales. The record is from RNAcentral.
CAGGGAAUAUUGCGCAAUGGGCGAAAGCCUGACGCAGUAACGCCGCGUGGGGGGAUGACGGCCUUCGGGUUGUAAACCCCUUCAGUCAGGGCAGCGAAUUGAAUCGGUGACCUGCAGAAGAAGCACCGGCCAACUACGUGCCAGCAGCCGCGGUAACACGUAGGGUGCAAGCGUUGUCCGGAUUCAUUGGGCGUAAAGGGCUAGUAGGCGGCUUAGCAAGUCGGGUGUGAAAACUUCAGGCUCAACCUGGAGCGGCCAUCCGAUACUGCUAUGGCUAGAGUCCGGUAGGGGACCACGGAAUUCCUGGUGUAGCGGUGAAAUGCGCAGAUAUCAGGAGGAACACCGAUGGCGAAGGCAGUGGUCUUGGGCCGGAACUGACGCUGAAUAGCGAAAGCGUGGGUAGCGAACA